Molecule: long non-coding RNA, 766 nt
Filed under: Equus asinus (donkey)
Lineage: Eukaryota; Metazoa; Chordata; Mammalia; Perissodactyla; Equidae
Description: lncRNA (ENSEASG00005034061.1)
Source: RNAcentral
AGGAAAUCUACAUGCAGAGAGUCCGAAGAGUGUUCCAGGUUGAGAAACCAGCACAUGCAAAGGCCCCAGGUGAAAGAGCGUGAAGCAAGUUUGUCCUCUCGUCAGGACACGUCAAAACUUGCAGAGACCCUGGCAGGCACGGCUCCCAACUCUUCAUUGGACAAAAGAACAACCUAAGACUCAGAGCUGAGAAGUGAUUUUGCCAGGGUCACACAGCCAGCUUGGGGCAGAAUCGGGAUUCAGGGACCUGUCUCCUACUUCUAAUGUGUCCUCUCUCCAUUACACCAGACACGGCGAGAACACGGAGAACCUAAAAGAAGAAAGAAAAAAACAGCUUCUUGUUGAAUAUCUUGAGCUUCUGGUUUUCAAGGACAGCUUUAUGAUUAAUAGCAAUGAUGCCUCAAAAGCUAUGGCAGCUAGCUUGAAUGAACUUAUGUAAUAAACAUUUAUCACAGAACAUGUGUCAUCAAACACCUGCUAGAUCUGAGCGUUGGCACCAAAGCUGCUUUCAUUGUCAAAGAAAAGAGGGGGAAAAGGAACUUGGCUGAACAAAGCUGGCAGACUUUUUACUAGAAAAUUCAGAGGUAAUUUCUGGAGGAGCAGGAACACAUUUCCAAGGCUCUUAAAAUGUGUUUAAAUGUGAUUGGGUGAAUUUAGUAGUUAAAAACUUGAAGGAUGUUGAGGACCAUUUGGUGCCUAAGCCCUCUUCCAGAUAGGUCCCUUCUGUCUGCCUUGGUCACAGAGUCCUGGAAGCCUCAAGGUGGGC